UACGUAGGGAGCAAGCGUUGUCCGGAUUCACUGGGUGUAAAGGGUGCGCAGGCGGAUUCGUAAGUCAGGGGUGAAAUCUCACAGCUUAACUGUGAAACUGCCCUUGAUACUGCAGAUCUUGAGUUCGGGAGAGGUUGAUGGAAUUCCAGGUGUAGCGGUGAAAUGCGUAGAUAUCUGGAAGAACACCAGUGGCGAAGGCGGUCAACUGGCCCGUAACUGACGCUCAGGCACGAAAGCGUGGGUAGCGAACAGG
RNAcentral lists this ribosomal RNA (253 nucleotides) under uncultured bacterium. Its description in RNAcentral is "partial 16S ribosomal RNA". It matches the Rfam family "Bacterial small subunit ribosomal RNA", at positions 524 to 776 of the family's 1533-position model. RNAcentral also lists the same sequence under 1 other name. The record is from RNAcentral.